UGUUACCUUGUUACGACUUCACCCCAAUCAUCUAUCCCACCUUAGGCGGCUGGCUCCAAAUGGUUACCUCACCGACUUCGGGUGUUACAAACUCUCGUGGUGUGACGGGCGGUGUGUACAAGGCCCGGGAACGUAUUCACCGCGGCGUGCUGAUCCGCGAUUACUAGCGAUUCCGACUUCAUGUAGGCGAGUUGCAGCCUACAAUCCGAACUGAGAUUGGCUUUAAGAGAUUAGCUUGCCGUCACCGGCUUGCGACUCGUUGUACCAACCAUUGUAGCACGUGUGUAGCCCAGGUCAUAAGGGGCAUGAUGAUUUGACGUCAUCCCCACCUUCCUCCGGUUUAUUACCGGCAGUCUCGCUAGAGUGCCCAACUAAAUGAUGGCAACUAACAAUAGGGGUUGCGCUCGUUGCGGGACUUAACCCAACAUCUCACGACACGAGCUGACGACAACCAUGCACCACCU
Molecule: ribosomal RNA, 464 nt
Filed under: uncultured Bacillota bacterium
Lineage: Bacteria; Bacillati; Bacillota
Description: uncultured Firmicutes bacterium partial 16S ribosomal RNA
Source: RNAcentral